CCUACGGGUGGCAGCAGUGAGGAAUAUUGGUCAAUGGACGAGAGUCUGAACCAGCCAAGUCGCGUGAGGGAUGACUGCUCUAUGGGUUGUAAACUUCUUUUAUAUGGGAGUAAAAUAUUCCACGUGUGGGGUUUUGUAUGUACCAUAUGAAUAAGGAUCGGCUAACUCCGUGCCAGCAGCCGCGGUAAUACGGAGGAUCCGAGCGUUAUCCGGAUUGAUUGGGUUUAAAGGGAGCGGAGGCGGAUUGUUAAGUCAGUUGUGAAAUUUUGCGGCUCAAACGUAAAAUUGCAGUUGAAACUGGCAGUCUUGAGUACAGUAGAGGUGGGCGGAAUUCGUGGUGUAGCGGUGAAAUGCUUAGAUAUCACGAAGAACUCCGAUUGCGAAGGCAGCACACUGGACUGCAACUGACGCUGAGGCUCGAAAGUGUGGGUAUCGAACAGGAUUAGAUACCCGUGUAGUC
This 460-nucleotide ribosomal RNA is filed under the name uncultured bacterium. RNAcentral's name for it is "partial 16S ribosomal RNA". It matches the Rfam family "Bacterial small subunit ribosomal RNA", at positions 338 to 795 of the family's 1533-position model. The record is from RNAcentral.